UCCCUGGAGGACUAGUGGUUAGGCCUUGGCUCUCUCAACACAGAGUCCCGGGUUCGAUUCCCGGGCCAGGGAU
Molecule: non-coding RNA, 73 nt
Organism: Pangasianodon gigas (Mekong giant catfish)
Lineage: Eukaryota; Metazoa; Chordata; Actinopteri; Siluriformes; Pangasiidae
Source: the annotation of a GenBank genome assembly